AUUGAACGCUGGCGGCAUGCUUUACACAUGCAAGUCGAACGGCAGCGCGGGCUUCGGCCUGGCGGCGAGUGGCGAACGGGUGAGUAAUGCAUCGGAACGUGCCCAGUAGUGGGGGAUAGCGCGGCGAAAGCCGGAUUAAUACCGCAUACGACCUGAGGGUGAAAGCGGGGGACCGUAAGGCCUCGCGCUAUUGGAGCGGCCGAUGUCGGAUUAGCUAGUUGGUGGGGUAAAGGCUUACCAAGGCGACGAUCCGUAGCUGGUCUGAGAGGACGACCAGCCACACUGGAACUGAGACAUGGCCCAGACUCCUACGGGAGGCAGCAGUGGGGAAUUUUGGACAAUGGGGGCAACCCUGAUCCAGCCAUGCCGCGUGCGGGAAGAAGGCCUUCGGGUUGUAAAGCGCUUUUGUUCGGGAAGAAAUCCUCUGAGCUAAUACCCCGGGGGGAUGACGGUACCGGAAGAAUAAGCACCGGCUAACUACGUG
RNAcentral lists this ribosomal RNA (484 nucleotides) under uncultured bacterium. RNAcentral's name for it is "partial 16S ribosomal RNA". It matches the Rfam family "Bacterial small subunit ribosomal RNA", at positions 29 to 507 of the family's 1533-position model. The record is from RNAcentral.